AUGUCCUGCUCCUGCAAAUGCAGUUCCCCUCACCAGAACUGUGGUGGGGGGGACCCUGGAGCGGACGCAGAUCAAUUUGCCUCUCAGGUUAGGAGGGCUGCCCUAAGAGAUGUGCAUGCCCUUAAAGGCAGGAGAGAACAUG
RNAcentral lists this small nucleolar RNA (142 nucleotides) under Pelusios castaneus (West African mud turtle). Its description in RNAcentral is "Small Cajal body specific RNA 11 (ENSPCEG00000010830.1)". It matches the Rfam family "Small Cajal body specific RNA 11". From Rfam's summary of the family: scaRNAs are a specific class of small nuclear RNAs which localise to the Cajal bodies and guide the modification of RNA polymerase II transcribed spliceosomal RNAs U1, U2, U4, U5 and U12. Lineage: Eukaryota; Metazoa; Chordata; Testudines; Pelomedusidae. The record is from Rfam by way of RNAcentral.